Molecule: long non-coding RNA, 508 nt
Organism: Chelonia mydas (Green sea turtle)
Lineage: Eukaryota; Metazoa; Chordata; Testudines; Cheloniidae
Exons: 4
Source: RefSeq, a predicted model, not a curated record
GUCUAGCAGUUAGUUGCAAUCUCUGCUGUUCCUCCUAGUUCCAGAGAAAACUUGGCCAAAAGUAUCACCAUAAGUUCAGCUGCGGAAACAGGAGUCUGGAACUGGACCUAAGAUGGGGUUAUCCUUGGAGGAAUAGGACUAACCAGACAAGCUGGGCACCUGACAACUUCUGAGAACCAGGAGAGGCCUUCCUCAAGAUCAUCCCUCAGUGACAGAGUAUCCUGACCUUGGAAAAGGGCUAUAAUCUAGUGUCUUUAUAGAGAUGAGGAAGCAGCUUUGACAAGUAGAAGUUAAACCCUAGAUGGUCCAGAACUAUCUAGCCAUUGCUUAAUCUUCUUAAUAUGACACCCAGCCCACUCUGUUAAAUCCAUUGUUACAGUGGAGUAAUAGAAAGCCUCUUGUCCCACAAGCCUAGUUUCCUUGUCAAGAUGAAAAAUAGAAAACAGACCCAGAAAAUGAGGCAAAGGAGAAGAAAGAUAGGGGAAAGUCAAGAAAUGAAGCAGCAAGA